This 446-nucleotide ribosomal RNA is filed under the name uncultured bacterium. RNAcentral describes it as "partial 16S ribosomal RNA". It matches the Rfam family "Bacterial small subunit ribosomal RNA", at positions 338 to 795 of the family's 1533-position model. The record is from RNAcentral.
CCUACGGGCGGCAGCAGUCGAGAAUCAUUCACAAUGGGGGAAACCCUGAUGGUGCGACGCCGCGUGGGGGAAUGAAGGUCUUCGGAUUGUAAACCCCUGUCAUGUGGGAGCAAAUUAAAAAGAUAGUACCACAAGAGGAAGAGACGGCUAACUCUGUGCCAGCAGCCGCGGUAAUACAGAGGUCUCAAGCGUUGUUCGGAAUCACUGGGCGUAAAGGGUGCGUAGGCUGUUUCGUAAGUCGUGUGUGAAAGGCGCGGGCUCAACCCGCGGACGGCACAUGAUACUGCGAGACUAGAGUAAUGGAGGGGGAAGCGGAAUGCACGGUGUAGCAGUGAAAUGCGUAGAUAUCGGGAGGAACACUCGUGGCGAAGGCGGGUUCCUGGACAUUAACUGACGCUGAGGCACGAAGGCCAGGGGAGCGAAAGGGAUUAGAUACCCCGGUAGUC